CCUACGGGUGGCAGCAGUGAGGAAUAUUGGUCAAUGGACGAGAGUCUGAACCAGCCAAGUAGCGUGAAGGAUGACUGCCCUAUGGGUUGUAAACUUCUUUUAUAUGGGAAUAAAAUGUUCCACGUGUGGGAUUUUGUAUGUACCAUAUGAAUAAGGAUCGGCUAACUCCGUGCCAGCAGCCGCGGUAGUACGGAGGAUCCGAGCGUUAUCCGGAUUUAUUGGGUUUAAAGGGAGCGUAGGUGGAUUGUUAAGUCAGUUGUGAAAGUUUGCGGCUCAACCGUAAAAUUGCAGUUGAAACUGGCAGUCUUGAGUACAGUAGAGGUGGGCGGAAUUCGUGGUGUAGCGGUGAAAUGCUUAGAUAUCACGAAGAACUCCGAUUGCGAAGGCAGUUCACUGGACUGCAACUGACACUGAGGCUCGAAAGUGUUGGUAUCAAACAGGAUUAGAUACCCCAGUAGUC
This 460-nucleotide ribosomal RNA is filed under the name uncultured bacterium. RNAcentral's name for it is "partial 16S ribosomal RNA". It matches the Rfam family "Bacterial small subunit ribosomal RNA", at positions 338 to 795 of the family's 1533-position model. The record is from RNAcentral.